Nerophis lumbriciformis (worm pipefish) is the source of this 343-nucleotide long non-coding RNA. RefSeq lists it as uncharacterized. NCBI's taxonomy places the organism in Eukaryota, Metazoa, Chordata, Actinopteri, Syngnathiformes, Syngnathidae. The record is from RefSeq and is a predicted model, not a curated record.
UUGUAGUCGCAAAACUCGAAAAGGAAGUCGACGGGCGUGUCGCUGCUGCUUACCACCGCCUGCUCGUUUCCUACCAUCCAGUAUUUACCAGUGGAGUCUGCAGAAAAAGAUACAGGAUGAGAGUUCUCCUAUUCCAAGAGCUGCAGGCACUAAUAUUACUGCAUUUGCAAAUCUUUGUAUCAGCACAAACUGUUUGCUUAACAAAAAUCCUACUUUGCAACGACAAGUGUACUGCUGUCGCUCCAGUAUGCACGCACAGACCUUGCAGGCUGUAGGCGCCAUCUCUGAACUCCAGUGUGAAGUAGUCGUAGGAGGAGCGGUUGGAGUCCAGCGUGCCCGUCAC